UGGGGAAUAUUGCGCAAUGGGCGAAAGCCUGAUGCAGCAACGCCGCGUGAGUGAUGAAGGUCUUCGGAUUGUAAAGCUCUGUCUUUUGGGACGAUAAUGACGGUACCAAAGGAGGAAGCCACGGCUAACUACGUGCCAGCAGCCGCGGUAAUACGUAGGUGGCGAGCGUUGUCCGGAUUUACUGGGCGUAAAGGGUGCGUAGGCGGAUGUUUAAGUGAGAUGUGAAAUACCCGGGCUUAACUUGGGUGCUGCAUUUCAAACUGGAUAUCUAGAGUGCAGGAGAGGAGAAUGGAAUUCCUAGUGUAGCGGUGAAAUGCGUAGAGAUUAGGAAGAACACCAGUGGCGAAGGCGAUUCUCUGGACUGUAACUGACGCUGAGGCACGAAAGCGUGGGUAGCAAACAGGAUUAGAUACCCUGGUAGUCCACGCCGUAAACGAUGAGUACUAGGUGUAGGAGGUAUCGACCCCUUCUGUGCCGCAGUAAACACAUUAAGUACUCC
This 499-nucleotide ribosomal RNA is filed under the name uncultured bacterium. Its description in RNAcentral is "partial 16S ribosomal RNA". It matches the Rfam family "Bacterial small subunit ribosomal RNA", at positions 355 to 870 of the family's 1533-position model. The record is from RNAcentral.